RNAcentral lists this ribosomal RNA (747 nucleotides) under uncultured bacterium. RNAcentral describes it as "bacterial SSU rRNA". It matches the Rfam family "Bacterial small subunit ribosomal RNA", at positions 68 to 803 of the family's 1533-position model. The record is from RNAcentral.
GACUGGUCAAUUUAUUGGACAGUUAGUGGCGAAAGGGUUAGUAACGGGUAGGUAACGUACCCUGUGCUUUGGGAUAGCGUCAUCCCGACUUCGGUCGGGAUUUCCGAAAGGGGCGGUAAUACCAAAUAAUAUCACUUGUUUAUAGGCAGGUGAUCAAAGAUUUAUCGGCACAGGAGCGGCCUGCCUCCUAUCAGCUUGUUGGUGAGGUAACGGCUCACCAAGGCAGCGACGGGUAGCGGGACUGAGAGGUUGACCCGCAACAUCGGGACUGAGACACUGCCCGGACCUCCACGGAGGGCUGCAGUAACGAAUAUUGUGCAAUGGGCGAAAGCCUGACACAGCGACGCCGCGUGCGGGAGGAAGUCCUUCGGGAUGUGAACCGCUGUCAGGGGGAAGAAAGUGCGCUUCGGUGCAUUGAUCUAACCCAAAGGAAGUCACGGCUAACUUCGUGCCAGCAGCCGCGGUAAGACGAAGGUGGCAAGCGUUGUUCGGUAUCACUGGGCUUAAAGCGUGUGUAGGCGGAAAAGUAAGCGUUUCGUGAAAGCCCCCGGCUUAACCGGGGAACUGCGCAAUGAACUGCUUUUCUUGAGGCAAGUAGGGGCGCAUGGAACUCUUGGUGGAGCGGUGGAAUGCGUAGAUAUCAAGAGGAACGCCAGUGGAGAAAUCGGUGCGCUGGGCUUGUCCUGACGCUGAGACACGAAAGCGUGGGUAGCGAACGGGAUUAGAUACCCCGGUAGUCCACGCCGU